AUCAAGUGACUUUGGUUAUAUGCAUUACUAGACUGGUUCGUCAAAAGGGUCUUCAUUUGAUAAUUCAGGCAAUAAAGCGGGUGGAGGAGUUAAUAGGCAGACAGCAGUCUGCUACUGAAGGAAAAGGG
Molecule: long non-coding RNA, 128 nt
Organism: Ipomoea nil (Japanese morning glory)
Lineage: Eukaryota; Viridiplantae; Streptophyta; Magnoliopsida; Solanales; Convolvulaceae
Exons: 2
Source: RefSeq, a predicted model, not a curated record